Dreissena polymorpha is the source of this 525-nucleotide long non-coding RNA. RefSeq lists it as uncharacterized. The record is from RefSeq and is a predicted model, not a curated record. NCBI's taxonomy places the organism in Eukaryota, Metazoa, Mollusca, Bivalvia, Myida, Dreissenidae. The transcript is spliced from 3 exons.
AACCUCGGCCUAAGUGUCACUAACAGUAACGUCACGGUGACUAUUGAUGAUAAAGAGUUAUAUUCUCCCCACCCAUGUACAUUUGCUACAUUGUUAGAACCGGAGGACUACGAUUUGACUAUUGGUGGGUUAUUAUUCGUUGGGAGUUUGACAGCACUGAAUCUCUGGGAUGCAACUUCUAAAGAUGUAGAGUUGUCUCCCGUAAAGAAAUGUUCAUAUGAUACACAAGGCACUCUGUUAUCAUGGAAAAAAUUUGAAGAAGUGGAUGGCCCCUUCGUUCGCAGCGUCAGUCAAUGCGAUGAUGUUGACAACUGUGCAAGUUCCCCUUGCCAGAAUUGGGGUACAUGUCUAGAUGGACCCAACAUCGUCACUUGCACGUGCAUGACUGGUUUCACGGAUGACAGGUGUAGCAGAAUAUGGAUUGCGAGUGGAACUCGUGUCAGAACGGCGCCACGUGCAUAGAUGGAGUAGAUUCCUUCACGUGUCAAUGCACUUCAAUGUUUAAUGGCGUUUUUUGCGAAAUUC